Molecule: ribosomal RNA, 442 nt
Filed under: uncultured bacterium
Lineage: Bacteria
Description: partial 16S ribosomal RNA
Rfam family: Bacterial small subunit ribosomal RNA
Source: RNAcentral
CCUACGGGAGGCAGCAGUAGGGAAUCUUUCACAAUGGGCGAAAGCCUGAUGGAGCAACGCCGCGUGCAGGAUGAAGGCCUUCGGGUUGUAAACUGCUUUUAUAAGCGAGAAAUAUGAUGGUAACUUAUGAAUAAGAAUCGGCUAACUACGUGCCAGCAGCCGCGGUCAUACGUAGGAUCCGAGCAUUAUCCGGAGUGACUGGGUGUAAAGAGUUGCGUAGGUGGCAUAAUAAGUAGCUAGUGAAAUCUGGUGGCUCAACCAUUCAGACUAUUAGCUAAACUGUUAAGCUCGAGAACGUUAGGGGUAACUGGAAUUGUUAGUGUAGGAGUGAAAUCCGUAGAUAUUAGAAGGAACACCAAUAGCGUAGGCAGGUUACUGGGACGGUUCUGACACUAAGGCACGAAAGCGUAGGGAGCAAACGGGAUUAGAUACCCCUGUAGUC